UCCGGUUUGGCACCGGCAGUCCGCCGUUGUCUAGCCCAGGUAAGGUUCUUCGCGUUGCGUCGAAUUGAACCACAUGCUCCACCGCUUGUGCGGGCCCCCGUCAAUUCCUUUGAGUUUUAAUCUUGCGACCGUACUCCCCAGGCGGGGCACUUAAUGCGUUAGCUGCGGCACCCAGGGGGUCAAUACCCCGGACACCUAGUGCCCAUCGUUUACAGCGUGGACUAC
RNAcentral lists this unclassified non-coding RNA (225 nucleotides) under uncultured delta proteobacterium. RNAcentral's name for it is "contains 16S-23S intergenic spacer region". The record is from RNAcentral. Lineage: Bacteria; Deltaproteobacteria.